GACGAACGCUGGCGGCGUGCUUAACACAUGCAAGUCGAACGGAAAGGCCCUGCUUUUGUGGGGUGCUCGAGUGGCGAACGGGUGAGUAACACGUGAGUAACCUGCCCUUGACUUUGGGAUAACUUCAGGAAACUGGGGCUAAUACCGGAUAGGAGCUCCUGCUGCAUGGUGGGGGUUGGAAAGUUUCGGCGGUUGGGGAUGGACUCGCGGCUUAUCAGCUUGUUGGUGGGGUAGUGGCUUACCAAGGCUUUGACGGGUAGCCGGCCUGAGAGGGUGACCGGCGACAUGGGGACUGAGGUACGGCGCAGACUCGUACGGGAGGCAGCAGUGGGGAAUAUUGCACAAUGGGCGGAAGCCUGAUGCAGCAACGCCGCGUGCGGGAUGACGGCCUUCGGGGUGUAAACCGCUUUCGCCUGAGACGAAGCGUGAGUGACGGUAAUGGGUAAAGAAGCACCGGCUAACUACGUG
This 468-nucleotide ribosomal RNA is filed under the name uncultured bacterium. RNAcentral describes it as "partial 16S ribosomal RNA". It matches the Rfam family "Bacterial small subunit ribosomal RNA", at positions 28 to 507 of the family's 1533-position model. The record is from RNAcentral.